Molecule: long non-coding RNA, 932 nt
Organism: Syngnathoides biaculeatus (alligator pipefish)
Lineage: Eukaryota; Metazoa; Chordata; Actinopteri; Syngnathiformes; Syngnathidae
Exons: 3
Source: RefSeq, a predicted model, not a curated record
UUGAUGUGGACCGGACAUUCGGCCCACGGGAGUGGGUACUGGAAGGAUUGGAAGAAGUAGAAGAUGCUCCAGCCGAUGAUCACGUUGUAGUAGAGGCCCACGAAGCCGCAAACCUGCCGUUAAAAAGACAGCACCUUGUUUGCGCCAAAUGCCUUGAAGAAACAAAUGUGAUCGUGUGACUUCAUCAUCUUGAGCCUCACUCCAUUGCCACUUAGCAAAAAUGUGUUUGCAAACAUUGAGAAAACGUGUGUUUGAUGGUGUUUGCCACCAAACGUUUGCAAGUUUGCAAAGUUUGGUAAUGCUGACGCAUAUCCAAACCUCAGCGCAUGAGAAUUUUUUUAUUGUUUGGAGAUAUUCACUCUUUGAAGCGUUUGCUGGAAUUCAGCAAAGCCCAGCCAAUCAGAGAAGAGGUGGUGAUCAUGUGAUUGACUUGUUGGACAAAAUUGUAGCUUCCAAGAGCAAGGAAAGAAGUUGGGCUUUUGAAGAAAUAGAAACUUUAAUUGAAGAAUAUGAAAAGUAUUAUUGUUUUUACAGCACAAGAAUGAAUGAUUAGAAGGACAAGUAGGUGGCACCAUUGAUCCAAAUAUCAAGUGUCCAUGGCAUGGAUUUUACAGGUUGUCCUUGCAAGAUUUGCGACAGAGGAGUGCAAAGAAUAAUCAAGAAGCGUUGGCUGAGAGCCAAGGACCAUCUCUGGAGACUUUCAAAUAGACUUGUCACAAGCAAAAUAUUAAACAUUGGGAGAAUACAGUCUGGUCGGAUGAGAGCAAAAUUCAACCGUUUGGCUGCCAUAAUGCACACCACGUUUGGAAAAGAAAUGACACUGCACAUCACCCUAAAAACAUCAUACCAACAGUGAAGUUUGACCCAUAAAAGACGCCGACAGAAUCUUCAAGAUUUGAAAAUUCUUUGUGUGGAAUGAACCAAAACCACAG